UCCACCCUUUCGGGGGUGAGGCGAGUGGCGGACGGGUGAGUAACACGUGAGUAAUCUGUCCCUGUGUGGGGGAUAACCCGGGGAAACUCGGGCUAAUACCGCAUGGGCGGCUGGCAGGAUCUGCCGGCUGGGAAAGGUGGCCUCUUUACAAUGCUGCCAUGCAGGGAGGAGCUCGCGGGCUAUUAGCUAGUUGGUGCGGUAACGGCGCACCAAGGCAGCGACGGCUACGGGGUCUGAGAGGACGACCCCGCACAUUGGAACUGAGACACGGUCCAGACUCCUACGGGAGGCAGCAGUGGGGAAUUUUGGGCAAUGGCCGAAAGGCUGACCCAGCGACGCCGCGUGUGGGAGGAAGCCCUUCGGGGUGUAAACCACUGUCAGGGGGGACGAAUGUACGGGGAGGGAAUACUUCUUCGUAGUGACGGUACCCCCAAAGGAAGCACCGGCUAACUCUGUGCCAGCAGCCGCGGUAAUACAGAGGGUGCAAGCGUUG
This 493-nucleotide ribosomal RNA is filed under the name uncultured bacterium. Its description in RNAcentral is "bacterial SSU rRNA". It matches the Rfam family "Bacterial small subunit ribosomal RNA", at positions 71 to 543 of the family's 1533-position model. The record is from RNAcentral.